AGGAUAAUAGUUAAAUAAAAAUAACAUUUAAUUUGCAUUUAAAAAAUAUUGAACUUCAAUUUAUCUUA
This 68-nucleotide transfer RNA is filed under the name Lipromima minuta. Its description in RNAcentral is "tRNA-Ala". Lineage: Eukaryota; Metazoa; Arthropoda; Insecta; Coleoptera; Chrysomelidae. The record is from RNAcentral.